UCUAGAAGUGAGAAUGCCGGUAUGAGUAACGAAAGACAGGUGAGAAUCCUGUCCGCCGCAAGACUAAGGUUUCCUGGGGCAGGCUCGUCCGCCCAGGGUAAGUCGGGACCUAAGGCGAGGCCGAGAGGCGUAGUCGAUGGACAACAGGUUGAAAUUCCUGUACUGCACCGAAUCGUUAUGAGCGAUGGAGGGACGCAGGAGGCUAGCAGCGCGUGGUGCUGGAUACCACGUUCAAGCGUCAAGUCUGAGAGUGAGUCAAAUGCUUGCUCUCAUAAGGACAAGGCGUGAUGAGGAGCGAAAUUAAAGUAGCGAAGGCUGCGACGUCACACUGCCGAGAAAAGCUUCUAGCCAGAGACGGUGCACCCGUACCGCAAACCGACACAGGUAGUCGAGGAGAGUAUCCUCAGGUGAGCGAGAGAACUCUCGUUAAGGAACUCGGCAAAAUGGCCCCGUAACUUCGGGAGAAGGGGCGCUGGUCGCAAGAUCAGCCGCAGUGAAAAGGCCCAAGCAACUGUUUAUCAAAAACACAGGCAUCUGCAAAAUCGUAAGAUGAAGUAUAGGUGCUGACACCUGCCCGGUGCUGGAAGGUUAAGAGGAGAGCUUAGCGCAAGCGAAGGUUUGAAUUGAAGCCCCAGUAAACGGCGGCCGUAACUAUAACGGUCCUAAGGUAGCGAAAUUCCUUGUCGGGUAAGUUCCGACCUGCACGAAAGGUGUAAUGAUUUGGGCACUGUCUCAACGAGAGACUCGGUGAAAUUAUAAUACCCGUGAAGAUGCGGGUUACCCGCGACAGGACGGAAAGACCCCAUGGAGCUUUACUGCAGUUUAAUAUUGGGUAUCUGUCAAGCAUGUACAGGAUAGGUAGGAGCCGGAGAAGAUAGGACGCCAGUCUUAUCUGAGGCGCUGUUGGGAUACUACCCUUGCUUGACGGAUGCUCUAACUCAGGCCUGUGAUCCAGGCCGAGGACAGUGUUUGACGGGCAGUUUGACUGGGGCGGUCGCCUCCUAAAGUGUAACGGAGGCGCCCAAAGGUUCCCUCAGAAUGGUUGGAAAUCAUUCGCAGAGUGUAAAGGUAAAAGGGAGCUUGACUGCGAGAGAGACAACUCGAGCAGGUACGAAAGUAGGGCUUAGUGAUCUGGUGGUACCGUAUGGAAGGGCCAUCACUCAACGGAUAAAAGCUACCCUGGGGAUAACAGGCUUAUCUCCCCCAAGAGUUCACAUCGACGGGGAGGUUUGGCACCUCGAUGUCGGCUCGUCGCAUCCUGGGGCUGAAGUCGGUCCCAAGGGUUGGGCUGUUCGCCCAUUAAAGCGGCACGCGAGCUGGGUUCAGAACGUCGUGAGACAGUUCGGUCCCUAUCCGUCGUGGGCGUAGGAAAUUUGAGAGGAGCUGUCCUUAGUACGAGAGGACCGGGAUGGACGCACCGCUGGUGUACCAGUUGUCUUGCCAAAGGCAUCGCUGGGUAGCUAUGUGCGGACGGGAUAAGCGCUGAAAGCAUCUAAGUGCGAAGCCCCCCUCAAGAUGAGAUUUCCCAUUUCUUCAAGAAAGUAAGACACCUCAGAGACGAUGAGGUAGAUAGGCCGGGAGUGGAAGAGCCGUGAGGCUUGGAGCGGACCGGUACUAAUCAGUCGAGGACUUGACCAAAA
RNAcentral lists this ribosomal RNA (1640 nucleotides) under Lactobacillus delbrueckii subsp. bulgaricus. RNAcentral describes it as "partial 23S ribosomal RNA". It matches the Rfam family "Bacterial large subunit ribosomal RNA", at positions 1281 to 2925 of the family's 2925-position model. Lineage: Bacteria; Bacillati; Bacillota; Bacilli; Lactobacillales; Lactobacillaceae. The record is from RNAcentral.